Molecule: long non-coding RNA, 386 nt
Filed under: Ailuropoda melanoleuca (giant panda)
Lineage: Eukaryota; Metazoa; Chordata; Mammalia; Carnivora; Ursidae
Description: lncRNA (ENSAMEG00000026915.1)
Source: RNAcentral
UGGAGAAAAAGGAAGGAAGGAAAGGGGUAAGUUGUUAUUUUAAGUUAGGUAGUCAAGAAAGGCCUCACUGACAAGGUGACAUUUAAGCAAAAGCCUGAAGGAAGAGCCUAUUUGGAAAUUUUUCUUGGAGAAAAAGUUUACAGACCCCUGCUGUAUUGUCACAACGUUACUGUGGUCUGUCUUUGGAUGGAAUGGAGAAGAGCAAGCCACCAAAGUGUACUUAUUUGUUUGUCCAGCCACUCAGUAGAUUUACCUCCUAUCUGAACAUUCUCAAAAUCCCCACCAAGGAGAGAAGUCCAAUGCAAGAGGGAAGACAAGCAUUUCUGAACUAUCAGGAGCUUCCACGAAGGGACACCUCUCGCAAACCUCGUAACUCUGUGAGAUAG